Molecule: unclassified non-coding RNA, 89 nt
Filed under: Pseudomonas prosekii
Lineage: Bacteria; Pseudomonadati; Pseudomonadota; Gammaproteobacteria; Pseudomonadales; Pseudomonadaceae
Source: RNAcentral
UGUGGGAGCGAGCUUGCUCGCGAUGACGGCGUGUCAGUCAACAUUUACUGCACUGGCACGCCGCUAUCGCGAGCAAGCUCGCUCCCACA